RNAcentral lists this ribosomal RNA (406 nucleotides) under uncultured bacterium. Its description in RNAcentral is "partial 16S ribosomal RNA". It matches the Rfam family "Bacterial small subunit ribosomal RNA", at positions 30 to 526 of the family's 1533-position model. The record is from RNAcentral.
AUUGAACGCUGGCGGCAGGCCUAACACAUGCAAGUCGAACGAGUGGCGGACGGGUGAGUAAUGUCUGGGAAACUGCCUGAUGGAGGGGGAUAACUACUGGAAACGGUAGCUAAUACCGCAUACCAUCAGAUGUGCCCAGAUGGGAUUAGCUUGUUGGUGGGGUAACGGCUCACCAAGGCGACGAUCCCUAGCUGGUCUGAGAGGAUGACCGCCCCAACUGGAACGGAGACACGGUCCAGACCCCUACGGAGGGCAGAGGUGGGGACUAUUGCACAAUGGGCGAAAGCCUGAUGCAGCCAUGCGGCGUGUAUGAAGAGGGCCUUCGGGUUUUAAAGUACUUUCAGCGGGGAGGCGUUACCCGCAGAAGAAGCACCGGCUAACUCCGUGCCAGCAGCCGCGGUAAUAC